Musca domestica (house fly) is the source of this 522-nucleotide RNA transcript. RefSeq lists it as uncharacterized. The transcript is spliced from 2 exons. The record is from RefSeq and is a predicted model, not a curated record. NCBI's taxonomy places the organism in Eukaryota, Metazoa, Arthropoda, Insecta, Diptera, Muscidae.
CUUCGCUCUAAGCAAAACGUUCGCAAAACGUUCGGUUGUGGAACGUAAAAAUAAUGCAAUAAUGCACACGGUUAAAAUAACGAACACUUAUCGGUUUUUCACAAAAUUCUACAACGCAAUUGCAGUGCAAUACAAUUGCACACGACACGUAUCGAAGCUACAUAUUAUUAAAAAUCUAUUACUAUAUAAGAGCUGGUAUUUAGAGCAGAAAAUAAAAACCAAAGUUUGAAUAAUAUCAAAGUAGUUUUCUAUUAAAUCCUGAAAUAAUAUCAUAAACAAAAUGCCUUGCAAAGGAUGUGGAAACGAUUGCAAAUGCACUGCCCAAAAGUGCUGCGACAGAUGUCCCUGCGAUCACCAUUGUCAUUGUCCCUGCAAAACUUCCGCUAAGGAAUAGCACAGAAAAGGUGUUUGAAGUGGAAAUGCUAUAUUAAAUUUUCUUUGAACUCAAAAUGUAUAUUGUAUUUAAAAAUGUUAUUUAAAUAAUAUAAAAUAAAAAAUAAAAUAAAACAACCAAAGAAUUAA